Molecule: ribosomal RNA, 294 nt
Filed under: uncultured bacterium
Lineage: Bacteria
Description: partial 16S ribosomal RNA
Rfam family: Bacterial small subunit ribosomal RNA
Source: RNAcentral
GGAUUAGAUACCCUGGUAGUCCACGCCGUAAACUAUGGAUGCUAGCUGUUAUUCGUAUCGACCCGAGUAGUAGCGAAGCUAACGCGUUAAGCAUCCCGCCUGUGGAGUACGGCCGCAAGGCUAAAACAUAAAGGAAUUGACGGGGACCCGCACAAGCGGUGGAGCGUGUUGUUUAAUUCGAUGGUAAGCGAAGAACCUUACCCAGGCUUGACAUCCUUGGAAGCACUGCGAAAGCAGAGUGUGCCUUCGGGAACCAAGUGACAGGUGCUGCAUGGCCGUCGUCAGCUCGUGCCG